This 468-nucleotide ribosomal RNA is filed under the name uncultured bacterium. RNAcentral's name for it is "partial 16S ribosomal RNA". It matches the Rfam family "Bacterial small subunit ribosomal RNA", at positions 28 to 507 of the family's 1533-position model. The record is from RNAcentral.
GACGAACGCUGGCGGCGUGCUUAACACAUGCAAGUCGAACGGAAAGGCCAUGCUUUUGUGGGGUGCUCGAGUGGCGAACGGGUGUGUAACACGUGAGUAACCUGCCCUUGACUUUGGGAUAACUUCAGGAAACUGGGGCUAAUACAGGAUAGGAGCUACUGCUGCAUGGGGGGGGUUGGAAAGUUUCGGCGGUUGGGGAUGGACUCGCGGCUUAUCAGCUUGUUGGUGGGGUAGUGGCUUACCAAGGCUUUGACGGGUAGCCGGCCUGAGAGGGUGACCGGCCACAUUGGGACUGAGAUACGGCCCAGACUCCUACGGGAGGCAGCAGUGGGGAAUAUUGCACAAUGGGCGGAAGCCUGAUGCAGCAACGCCGCGUGCGGGAUGACGGCCUUCGGGUUGUAAACCGCUUUCGCCUGUGACGAAGCGUGAGUGACGGUAAUGGGUAAAGAAGCACCGGCUAACUACGUG